AGUGAACGCUGGCGGUAGGCCUAACACAUGCAAGUCGAACGGCAGCACAGUAAGAGCUUGCUCUUACGGGUGGCGAGUGGCGGACGGGUGAGGAAUACAUCGGAAUCUACUUUUUCGUGGGGGAUAACGUAGGGAAACUUACGCUAAUACCGCAUACGACCUACGGGUGAAAGCAGGGGAUCUUCGGACCUUGCGCGAUUGAAUGAGCCGAUGUCGGAUUAGCUAGUUGGUGGGGUAAAGGCCCACCAAGGCGACGAUCCGUAGCUGGUCUGAGAGGAUGAUCAGCCACACUGGAACUGAGACACGGUCCAGACUCCUACGGGAGGCAGCAGUGGGGAAUAUUGGACAAUGGGCGCAAGCCUGAUCCAGCCAUACCGCGUGGGUGAAGAAGGCAUUCGGGUUGUAAAGCCCUUUUGUUGGGAAAGAAAAGCAGCAGGUUAAUACCCCGCUGUUCUGACGGUACCCAAAGAAUAAGCACCGGCUAACUUCGUG
This 492-nucleotide ribosomal RNA is filed under the name uncultured bacterium. RNAcentral's name for it is "partial 16S ribosomal RNA". It matches the Rfam family "Bacterial small subunit ribosomal RNA", at positions 29 to 507 of the family's 1533-position model. The record is from RNAcentral.